This is a long non-coding RNA of Vicia villosa (hairy vetch), 450 nucleotides long. RefSeq lists it as uncharacterized. NCBI's taxonomy places the organism in Eukaryota, Viridiplantae, Streptophyta, Magnoliopsida, Fabales, Fabaceae. The transcript has 4 exons. The record is from RefSeq and is a predicted model, not a curated record.
UGCAGAAAGUGUUUUCAAGAGGUUUUCUGGAAAUGAGUUGCCUGGGUAUGAUGAUGGUGAUGUGGGUUCAGCAAGGUUUGACAAACCUAUAAGCUUUGCUGUUGAUGUGAGACUUGGACCAAAGUAUCACGGAUUCUUACAAGGAACUUAAUGGUGAAGGCAGUUCUCACAGAGAUUUUGAAACUAUUUGAAGUUGUAGGGCUUGGAUAUUCAUUAUGGUUUACUUACCGAUAUUUGCUGUUCAAAAGAAAUAGAGAUGAGUUGUCUGAUAUAAUAGAGGGACUCAAGGAAUAAGUGUUUGGUUAAGAAGAUUAAUAGUUGUUAUGAAACAGUGAAUUAAUAUCUAGACUGUAUAGUUGUUAGGGUAUGCAUCAGUUUGAUCUAUAUGUAUUGACAAUCUAUUUACUUGCUUGGUAUGAAAUUCUGGUCAAGUGUGAGUGAUCCAUGAAA